Molecule: ribosomal RNA, 403 nt
Filed under: uncultured Acetobacterium sp.
Lineage: Bacteria; Bacillati; Bacillota; Clostridia; Eubacteriales; Eubacteriaceae
Description: bacterial SSU rRNA
Rfam family: Bacterial small subunit ribosomal RNA
Source: RNAcentral
GGGGAAUAUUGCGCAAUGGGGGAAACCCUGACGCAGCAAUACCGCGUGAGUGAAGAAGGUUUUCGGAUCGUAAAGCUCUGUUAUUGGGGAAGAAAAAAAGACGGUACCCAAGAAGAAAGUCCCGGCUAACUACGUGCCAGCAGCCGCGGUAAUACGUAGGGGACAAGCGUUGUCCGGAUUUACUGGGCGUAAAGGGCACGCAGGCGGUUUUUUAAGUCAGAUGUGAAAGGUACCGGCUCAACUUCGGGCGUGCAUUUGAAACUGGGGGACUAGAGUGCAGGAGAGGUAAGUGGAAUUCCUAGUGUAGCGGUGAAAUGCGUAGAUAUUAGGAGGAACACCAGUGGCGAAGGCGACUUACUGGACUGUAACUGACGCUGAGGCGCGAAAGCGUGGGGAGCAAACA